RNAcentral lists this ribosomal RNA (440 nucleotides) under uncultured bacterium. RNAcentral's name for it is "partial 16S ribosomal RNA". It matches the Rfam family "Bacterial small subunit ribosomal RNA", at positions 338 to 795 of the family's 1533-position model. The record is from RNAcentral.
CCUACGGGAGGCAGCAGUGGGGAAUAUUGCACAAUGGGGGAAACCCUGAUGCAGCGACGCCGCGUGAGUGAAGAAGUAUUUCGGUACGUACAGCUCUAUCAGCAGGGAAGAAAAUGACGGUACCUGACUAAGAAGCCCCGGCUAACUACGUGCCAGCAGCCGCGGUAAUACGUAGGGGGCAAGCGUUAUCCGGAUUUACUGGGUGUAAAGGGAGCGUAGACGGCAGCGCAAGUCUGGAGUGAAAUCCCAUGGCUUAACCAUGGAACUGCUUUGGAAACUGUGCAGCUAGAGUGCAGGAGAGGUAAGCGGAAUUCCUAGGGUAGCGGUGAAAUGCGUAGAUAUUAGGAGGAACACCAGUGGCGAAGGCGGCUUACUGGACUGUAACUGACGUUGAGGCUCGAAAGCGUGGGGAGCAAACAGGAUUAGAUACCCUAGUAGUC